UACAGGGGGGGCCAGCGUUAUUCGGAAUUAUUGGGCGUAAAGGGCGCGUAGGCGGCCAUGCGUGUCUUCCGUGAAAUCCCUCGGCUUAACUGAGGACGUGCGGAAGAAACUGCAAGGCUCGAGUCCGGGAGAGGGGGGUGGAAUUCCCAGUGUAGCGGUGAAAUGCGUAGAUAUUGGGAGGAACACCGGUGGCGAAGGCGGCCCCCUGGACCGGUACUGGCGCUGAGGCGCGAAAGCGUGGGUAGCAAACGGG
Molecule: ribosomal RNA, 253 nt
Filed under: uncultured bacterium
Lineage: Bacteria
Description: partial 16S ribosomal RNA
Rfam family: Bacterial small subunit ribosomal RNA
Source: RNAcentral